UCCAAGUCACACUGCAUCCCUGCCUUGUC
RNAcentral lists this non-coding RNA (29 nucleotides) under Homo sapiens (human). The record is from RNAcentral. Lineage: Eukaryota; Metazoa; Chordata; Mammalia; Primates; Hominidae.